This 1796-nucleotide long non-coding RNA is filed under the name Cyanistes caeruleus (blue tit). Its description in RNAcentral is "lncRNA (ENSCCEG00000011845.1)". The record is from RNAcentral. Lineage: Eukaryota; Metazoa; Chordata; Aves; Passeriformes; Paridae.
CUCCAUGGCUCCAUCCUCUGGGAAUGUCAUCGGCCGUAGAAUGGGGAUGAGCUGCAUCCCAAAAUUCCCCUGAGCUUCCUGAGCAUCCUGGGAUUGUGGGAAGUGUCCCUGCUCUUGGAAUGAGAUGAUCCACCCAAGAGACCCUCUCCCAAUCCUGGGAUUAUCUCCAAAAUUCCCAGAUUUGGGUUUUAUUUCUCUUCCAGCUUUGGAGCUUGAAAAUUUUCUUUCCAUUUCAGGUUUCUUCCUGUUCCAAUCAUGAUUUCCCUCCCCCCCUUUUUUGAUGUUUUUUCCGCCUUUUCCUUCUUUUCCAAAAUCUGAGGUUUCUUUGCGAUGCCCCCUGAACCCAAAAGCUGGGAUUUUAUGGAAAGGACACGGAAAAAGUGUAAAUUUCCAAUAAAAUCAUCAAAGGUGGCAGCGCUGGGGGUUCCUCCCCUCCUUUCUCUCUGAUCCAUAGAAUGAGAGGAUUGGUGGGAUCCAGCUGGGAUUGGGACAGAUCCUUAAAAACACCUAAAAUUCCCAGGAUUUGGGGUCUCCCUCAGCGCAGACACCUCAGAGGUGUCGAUGUUUGCCCCGGCUGCUCCUUUAGGGUUUUUUGUAGGAUUUCCCCACCCUCCCCCAGGUAGAACAAAUCAGCUCCGCAGCUCCUCAUCCAUCCCCUUUUCCGACGGAAACAAAACAAGCGUGGAAUGGCCGUUUUCCCAGGAUGUGCCCUUCCUUGACCCACCCGGCCACGGAAGUUCAUCCCCGGAGAGUCCUUUUAAAAUCUGGGAUUUGAGGCGGUGUCAGCCCCUUCUGGGGCCUCCUGUCCCGCACGGAUCACCCUCAUUAGCGAGGAAAAGCGGGAUAAACGGAACAGGCUGCGCUCCUGGCGCCAUUCCCAAUGGUUCCUCUUGGAAGUCCCCGCGAUUCCGACGGAUCCUUCCAAGCCGCCUGGGACAGGAAAAAACAACCCCGAUGUGUCCAGAAGACAGAGCGUUCCUCCUCCUCCUCCUCCUUCCCAAACCACAGGACCUCAGGGAAAGAUUAAACUUCCUUAAUGGAUCCUUUUCCACAGCCUUUGCCUUUCCAACUUGGAAAAACACCUUCAGGGUGGAAUUCCCCAUCCUUUUCCAAGGGUUUCCAGCCAUGGGGAUGGAGGCACGGGAAGCAGGGAAGCUGAUUGUCCUGGGGGGAUUGGAGAGCACGGCUUGGGGGGCUGGGAGGGCCCAGGAAUCCCGGGAAUUGUCCCUGUGGAGGGAGGUGGAGAUGGGAUUGAAGAGGAUUCCUGGCAGGGAUGACCCUGGAGAAGUCUCCAAGGCCACCAUGAUCCCAUUUGGAGCUCCAGCGGCAGCUCCUUCAGUUUGGAAUGAUUUUGGAAACCAGGGAUGGAAUUCCCAGCAUCCCUCUCCUGCCUGGGCAAUCUCUGUUUUUCUCAGUUGUGGGUGGGCUGUGAGUGACUCCAAAAUAUUCCCGUGGUUUCAUUCCUGCCCUGGAGAGGCCUGGAUGUGCUGUUUUCCCAUGGGGACACAGCAGGAAAAGUUUGGGAUGUGUCAGGAAAAAAAUUGGGACAAAACUGGGACAAAAUUGGGAUAAAACUUGAACAAAACUGGGAUAAAUUUUAUCCUUCAUGGCGAAGUCUGUUCCUGUUUAGUGCAGCUGGGUGUAAAAUCAGGGAGCUGGGAGUUGUUUUAUCGGGAAGAGAGGGAUCUUAGGAGAAAGAAUGAGGAGGGUGGAAAAAAAUGUGUGGAAAACCUCACUGAGUCCGUCAUUCCAAAAGGAAAAAUAAAGGGGAAAGGGGGAAAUGGGGAAAGAAAAAA